GUCCCAGCAGCGCAAUGCAUAGCGCGUUGGACUUCUAAUCCAAAGGUCGAGAGUUCGAAUUCCACCUGGGAUG
Non-coding RNA from Trichonephila inaurata madagascariensis, 73 nucleotides. The record is from the annotation of a GenBank genome assembly. NCBI's taxonomy places the organism in Eukaryota, Metazoa, Arthropoda, Arachnida, Araneae, Nephilidae.